UCUGUGUGGUGUAUUCUAAGAGUAUUCAGUGGCUGUAUUUAAGAUAUGUUAAAUGAUAAACUGGUAGUUUCCGCUGCGAUGUAGCCCUUCGGUGCCUCUGUGGUGUAAAACAAUCACCAAUCAAACAAUCCAAAAUCAAUGACGUCAUAUGUUACCAUUUGAUGUUGGAUUGAUGUAUCAUUGACAUAUACCACACAUGUGUUUCUAUUUGUCAAACCCGAAUCGUUGACAGAGAUAUUGUAUAAGAUUCACCAUGCAGUAAAACCCAUGCUGAG
Molecule: long non-coding RNA, 275 nt
Filed under: Mytilus galloprovincialis (Mediterranean mussel)
Lineage: Eukaryota; Metazoa; Mollusca; Bivalvia; Mytilida; Mytilidae
Source: RNAcentral